This 262-nucleotide unclassified non-coding RNA is filed under the name Hevea brasiliensis (rubber tree). The record is from RNAcentral. Lineage: Eukaryota; Viridiplantae; Streptophyta; Magnoliopsida; Malpighiales; Euphorbiaceae.
AAAGCAAGCUCACUCCAAAACACCAAUAACAAGUCAAAUCCAUACAAAUCAAACCGACUCACCCUUAACUAAAUCAAAGCAAACCAAACCACCAAAAAACCGUGCCCACCCUAGGAACCCUAGGAAAACAGAGAAGAUGCCCACUGCCAUCCAUCAAAGCUCACCAUCAUCGGAGAAGCAAAAGCUGGAAUUGAACCUAGCUAACACCACUAUCAUUCCAAGGAUCACCUACAUAGUCCAUUACAACUCAACACCUCCUAAG